GGCUGCACCUGCAGCAUAUGGAAGUUCCCAGGUUACAGGUCGAAUCAGAGCUACAGCUGCCAGGCUACGCCACAGCGACAGCAACGUGGGAUUCAAGCCACAUCGGCAACCUCGACCACAGAUCACAGCAAUUCUAGAUCCUUAACCCACUGAGCAAGACCAGGAAUCGAAUCCACAUCCUCAUAGAUAUUAGUUGGGUUCCUUACCUGCCAAGUUACAACAGGAACUCCCAUAUUUUUUUUUUUUUAAUAAAUGCUAUUGGAGUAUAGUUGACUUAUAAAGUUAUGUUACCUUCAGCUGUCCACCAAAGUAAAUCAGUUAUAUAUAUACAAAUAUCCAUUCCCUUUCAUGUUCUUUUCCCAUAGGUUAUUACACAGUAUUGAAUAGAUUACCUUAUUCUAUACAGUAGGUCAUUGUUAUCCAUCUAUUUAAUAGUGAUUUUUGUAACAGUAUUUAAUAGUAUUUUUUGUAAAUAAUUUAGAACUGUUGCUUAACUAUAAAUACCUUGGAUCAGUCUGAAUUAGCCUUAUCAGAGUAUAUAUUAACGACCACCAGAUUAUAGCUUGAAUUUACAUAUUAUUGUACUUCAUAUAUUUUCUUAUACGAAUGAAAUCAUUUCUGAUUUUGGAGAACUCACAGUCAAAUGGAAAAGAGGGACAGAUAAACAACUAAUUAAAAUGCAGUUAGAAAAUGUAAUAUUGGUUGCAUAUAAAAUGUCCUGGAAUAAAGGGGGAAAUUGACUUCUACAAGGUUAGGAGAGAUCCAGGAAUAUUUUGGGAGAUAUGGUUAAGAGAGUAUUCAUGGCGAAUUAGAUUGAAGAAAAAUGAACCAUAAGUCACAAUUUUGUUAAUAUAAUCCCCAUGUCCUUCAAAAAAGAAAUGUUUUUCUUCUAACAUUUUUUUAAUGGAGUCUAUUCUAAACCGUAUCUUACUUCAAGUUUAUAGUUUUAAAUUCAAAGUCCAUCAUAAUUUCUAUCAGAGUAAUCUAGUAGGGAGUUUAUUUUCCCCUUGUAUUGGAAGUAUCAAUUUGGGAUAGAUUUUAAUUAAUAAAUAAUAUAUUUAUUGUGUUACCAAGCUGAAAAGGGGCAACUAAUGGCUAAAUCAUCAACUUGAAAAUACUGAUUUAUUAGUUUUAUACAUGGUUAUUGGAUAAAUAAGAAUAUUCCAUGGAUAAAUCAAAGAAAGUUACCCCUAAAGCAACAGGCUGUCAUUAUCACUAGCCUAUUGAAUGCUCUGACACUUAUUGCAUGUUUAAGAAAGGUAAUAAUUAUGAAAAGCUUCAAUCACUCUUCCACAAGAGAGCUCUUGAAAAUGAUAAUAGUUUAAAGAUAAAUAAGUAAAGAAGUAGUCCAAUGCACUAGAUAUUCAGCUUGAGUUCUGUUCUAGAAAUAAUUGUCUUGGCAAACAAAUAUUUGAAGAAAGAACUAUGAGAAAACAAAAAAUAUAGAUAGAUAGAUAGAUAAAGAUAAAACAAUAAAAUGUUCAAUGGAGCAAUAACACUAGCAAAAUCCCAUGCCUCUCAUAACAUUAAUUUUAUAAAAACUAAUUAUACAUUAUAACCUAGAAAUAUAAAGUUUCCUAAUUUCCCUAUCAAAUGGUAUGACAUGGCCAUUUUAAAAUCAAAUCUGUCCUUUUCUUAAUAAUUGCAUGUAAAAGUUAUAUUCCCAGCCACUUUAAUGCACUGAAUAUUUUAAGGUGUUUUUAAUUUAAACUGGUGUUUUUAUAGUUUACUUUCAUAGUGUUCAAGAUUCAUUAAAACUCCUAGGAAAUAUACGUUGAAAUUUCAGUAACUUGUGAAUUUUCAAAAUCAUGAGAUGCUACAAAGCAACAAUCUUAAUCAGACCCAGAAUUUGUAUUCUCAUUAAUAUUUCUGAUGUGCAUUUCUUUAUAUCAUCUUCUUACUUCUGCGCUAGUUUCCCCACACCGAAGAGGUCAUUGCUUACCAGAGAAAACAAAAGUGGAAGUUGAGGCAAAAAGAAGUUAAUUAGCUUCCUUAGAGUCAUAGAGACAUAGCAUUAGAAUAAAAAUCAAAAUUAGGUCUUUGACUCCAAACUCAUCAUUCUCUUCUUCCCAAUAAAUCCAGCAAAAUAAAGACUAUGCACUUCAUGCAAACUUAAAAUAUUCCUUAAAAUAUAAAUAUCUGAUCUUUGGGAAGAUAUCAGUCAUAUAUAAGUAAGACUCCUUUUUGAUAAAGUAAACAUUUAUAUAUGAAUCAAAUUCUGUAUUAGAAAGUUAAAAAACAGGGGUGAUAAGGUAAAUAAUUCUUCAAUAUUUGUUCAGAUAGAAGAAACAUCAGAAAUAUUUGUUGUCCAUCCCCAUGGGAGAAUUUUAUAUCCUUGCCCAUUUGAUGUGACUUGACUAGUAUCUUGUGAUGCUUCUUCCUAUAGGCAAGUUAUAUAUUUCUACCAGUUAUGUCUGAAGUGGCCAUAAGACUUGCUUUGGCCAUUAAACUGUAUCAUUUCUGAAUAGCUGUUUAAGAGCUUCUGCAUAUUUUCAGUGAUGUCUGUUCCUUUUGCCAUGAGACAUACUUGUCCCAAAUAGGGGCAGUUCCUUCAGAAAAUGUAAUAGAAUGAAGACAAAGAAGAACAGAAACAUCUGAUCCACAAUGGGCAUGAAAUAAAUAAACUUACACACACACACACACACACACACACACACACACACACACACACACACACCAUAUUGCCAUUUUGUGACUAUUUUCUACUUCAUAGCACUGCCUAAGUAGACAUAAGCUUGAUAUUUAAGAUUCUAUUGGGUAUGAGGAAAGACCGCAUGAUAAAAAAAUAAAAAAUAAAAAACAGAAAAAAUUGCUUCUGUUUUUAAGGAGGAAUCAUUCUAUUGUGCUUACUUAAAAAAACUUACUAUUUCCUAAUUCUAAGAGGAACAAAUCUACCCUCUUCACAGAAAAAACUGGAAGGAAAAAAAAUUUUGUUUUUACACGGAAAAGCGCACACACACACACACACACACACCAAUGUGCACAUCUGUAACAAGUGGAUUUGCAAUAAAGUUUUGUUUGUUUGUUUGUUUUGCUUUUUAGGGCCACACCUGAGGCACGAGAAAGUUCCCAGGCUAGGGGUCAAAACAGAGCUACAGCUGCUGACCCAUACCACAACCAGCCAUGCCAGAUCUGAGCCGAGUUGGAAACCUACACCACAGCUCAUAGCAAUGCCAGAUCACCAACCCACUCGAGCAAGGCCAGGGAUCGAACCCACAUCCUCAUGGAUCCUAGUCAGGUUCGUUAAUUGCUAAGCCACGAAGGGAACUCCCAACUGAGAGAUUUUGAGAAAUGCAAACUCUGAUCCUUACCUCGAAACUACUGAAUUGGACUCUCUGGAGGUAGAACUAGAAAAUCUGUUUCUCAACAAUUACUCAAGUAAUUUUUAUGCAAGCUAAAGUUCAAGAAAUAGUGAUCUACAUCUCAAGAAACUCAACUAAAUAAGAUAUGCACAACAAGCUCACUCAUAGGAAUCACCCUUUUCAUGCUAUUACAAGUCACUAUUCAUUAGAAUAAUUGUUUAACACUAUUGACUUUAUUAUUUUUUUCAUAGAAAUGUCUUCAGAGUUGGUAUUUAUUUUAUCUUUCAACACUUUCCUUAACUCAGUUUCAGUACAGUUUAGUUUUUAUCCAGUUCAGCAGAGAAAGAUUCCUUUUA
RNAcentral lists this long non-coding RNA (3658 nucleotides) under Sus scrofa (pig). Its description in RNAcentral is "lncRNA (ENSSSCG00000056601.1)". The record is from RNAcentral. Lineage: Eukaryota; Metazoa; Chordata; Mammalia; Artiodactyla; Suidae.